GAGCUCUCAAUCUGUCAAUCCUUCCAGUGUCCGGGCCUGGUGAGAUUUCCCGUGUUGAGUCAAAUUAAGCCGCAGGCUCCACUCCUGGUGGUGCCCUUCCGUCAAUUCCUUUAAGUUUCAGCUUUGCAACCAUACUUCCCCCGGAACCCAAAAGCUUUGGUUUCCCGGAAGUCUCCCGUAGAGCCUACAAUAAAAACGUCUACGGAUUACUAGCUGGCAUCGUUUAUGGUUAGAACUAGGGCGGUAUCUGAUCGCCUUCGAACCUCUAACUUUCGUUCUUGAUUAAUGAAAACAUUCUUGGCAAAUGCUUUCGCAGUAGUGAGUCUUCAGACGGUCCAAGAAUUUCACCUCUGUCGUCUGAAUACUAAUGCCCCCGACUGUCCCUAUUAAUCAUUACGUCGAUUUCCGAAAACCAACAAAAUAGAAGCGACGUCCUAUUCCAUUAUUCCAUGCACGAAUAUUCAAGCGUGUAAAGCCUGCUUCGAGCACUCUAAUUUUUUCAAAGUAAACCUGUGGGCGACGCACGGACACUCGGUUAAGAGCACCCGUGGCCGAGACCCACAAAAAAACAGAGGAUUGCGUUUUCAGUAAAGCCAAUCAGCCAACCGAAAGCAACCCACCGAGAUCCAACUACGAGCUUUUUAACCGCAACAGCAUUAAUAUACGCUAUUGGAGCUGGAAU
RNAcentral lists this ribosomal RNA (682 nucleotides) under uncultured metazoan. RNAcentral's name for it is "partial 18S ribosomal RNA". The record is from RNAcentral. Lineage: Eukaryota; Metazoa.